RNAcentral lists this transfer RNA (90 nucleotides) under bacterium. RNAcentral's name for it is "tRNA-Ser". It matches the Rfam family "tRNA". From Rfam's summary of the family: Transfer RNA (tRNA) molecules are approximately 80 nucleotides in length. Their secondary structure includes four short double-helical elements and three loops (D, anti-codon, and T loops). The record is from RNAcentral.
GGAGAGGUGCAAGAGUGGUUUAAUUGGCAGACCUGGAAAGUCUGUGUACCCGAAAGGGUACCAAGGGUUCGAAUCCCUUCCUCUCCGCCA